RNAcentral lists this long non-coding RNA (224 nucleotides) under Mytilus galloprovincialis (Mediterranean mussel). The record is from RNAcentral. Lineage: Eukaryota; Metazoa; Mollusca; Bivalvia; Mytilida; Mytilidae.
CAUAUUGCCCUUUUGAUAUACCUAGUAAGUAAUUUCUAUUACAUAUAAUGAAUCACUGUUGAAUAAUUGUUAGAUUGUUUCAGGACAGUAAAGAGCAUGAACAAGUUUGUGGCAGUAGCCCAACAUCAUAUAUCAGCAAAAAAUGAAGUUCAGAAAAGAACAAUAUUUCAUACCGAGGAAACUUCUGAGCAAUGCAUAUCAUUUUAAAUGCAAUGACUCUUUAA